Molecule: ribosomal RNA, 227 nt
Filed under: uncultured bacterium
Lineage: Bacteria
Description: partial 16S ribosomal RNA
Rfam family: Bacterial small subunit ribosomal RNA
Source: RNAcentral
AGUAACGCGUGAGGAACCUGCCUCAAAGAGGGGGACAACAGUUGGAAACGACUGCCAAUACCGCAUAAGCCCACGGCUCGGCAUCGAGCAGAGGGAAAAGGAGCAAUCCGCUUUGAGAUGGCCUCGCGUCCGAUUAGCUAGUUGGUGAGGUAAUGGCCCACCAAGGCGACGAUCGGUAGCCGGACUGAGAGGUUGAACGGCCACAUUGGGACUGAGACACGGCCCAG